This 423-nucleotide ribosomal RNA is filed under the name uncultured rumen bacterium. RNAcentral's name for it is "bacterial SSU rRNA". It matches the Rfam family "Bacterial small subunit ribosomal RNA", at positions 969 to 1399 of the family's 1533-position model. The record is from RNAcentral.
ACUUACCCGGGCUUGAACUGCAGGGAAGGUCGCCUGUGCCGUCCUCGGACUCCUGUGGAGGUGCUGCAUGGUGUCGUCAGCUCGUGCCGUGAGGUGUCGGCUUAAGUGCCCAUAACGAGCGCAACCCUUUUCAUUAGUUGCCAUCAGGUGAUGCUGGGCACAAAGAGAGAUACUGCCACCGUAAGGUGUGAGGAAGGUGGGGAUGACGUCAAAUCAGCACGGCCCUUACGUCCGGGGCUACACACGUGUUACAAUGGGGCAUACAGAAGGCCGGUCCAACGCAAGUUGGAUCCAAUCUAUAAAGUGUCCCCCAGUUCGGAUUGGGGUCUGCAACCCGACCCCAUGAAGCUGGAUUCGCUAGUAAUCGCGCAUCAGCCAUGGCGCGGUGAAUACGUUCCCGGGCCUUGUACACACCGCCCUAAU